RNAcentral lists this ribosomal RNA (254 nucleotides) under uncultured bacterium. Its description in RNAcentral is "partial 16S ribosomal RNA". It matches the Rfam family "Bacterial small subunit ribosomal RNA", at positions 524 to 776 of the family's 1533-position model. The record is from RNAcentral.
CACGUAGGGGCCAAGCGUUGUCCGGAUUUAUUGGGCGUAAAGAGCUCGUAGGCGGCUCGGUAAGUCGGGUGUGAAACCUCCAGGCUCAACCUGGAGACGCCACCCGAUACUGCUGUGGCUAGAGUCCGGUAGGGGAGCGUGGGAUUCCUGGUGUAGCGGCGAAAUGCGCAGAUAUCAGGAGGAACACCAGCGGCGAAGGCGGCGCUCUGGGCCGGAACUGACGCUGAGGAGCGAAAGCGUGGGUAGCAAACAGG